UAGGGAAUCUUCGGCAAUGGACGAAAGUCUGACCGAGCAACGCCGCGUGAGUGAAGAAGGUUUUCGGAUCGUAAAACUCUGUUGUUAGAGAAGAACAAGGACGUUAGUAACUGAACGUCCCCUGACGGUAUCUAACCAGAAAGCCACGGCUAACUACGUGCCAGCAGCCGCGGUAAUACGUAGGUGGCAAGCGUUGUCCGGAUUUAUUGGGCGUAAAGCGAGCGCAGGCGGUUUCUUAAGUCUGAUGUGAAAGCCCCCGGCUCAACCGGGGAGGGUUAUUGGAAAGUGGGAGGCUUGAGUGCAGAAGAGGAGAGUGGAAUUCCAUGUGUAGCGGUGAAAUGCGUAGAUAUAUGGGGGAACACCAGUGGCGAAGGCGGCUCUCUGGUCUGUAACUGACGCUGAGGCUCGAAAGCGUGGGGAGCAAACAGG
RNAcentral lists this ribosomal RNA (429 nucleotides) under Gemmatimonadota bacterium. Its description in RNAcentral is "Gemmatimonadetes bacterium partial 16S ribosomal RNA". It matches the Rfam family "Bacterial small subunit ribosomal RNA", at positions 355 to 776 of the family's 1533-position model. Lineage: Bacteria; Pseudomonadati; Gemmatimonadota. The record is from RNAcentral.